This 99-nucleotide ribosomal RNA is filed under the name Peromyscus maniculatus bairdii (prairie deer mouse). The record is from RNAcentral. Lineage: Eukaryota; Metazoa; Chordata; Mammalia; Rodentia; Cricetidae.
ACCCACAGCUAUACCUCCCUGAACAUCCCACCCAAUCUUGUCUGAUCUAGGAAGUUAGGCAGGGCUGGAAGAGAGAAGAAGUGAGUUCAGUUGUAAGUG